GACGAACGCUGGCGGCGUGCCUAAUACAUGCAAGUAGAACGCACAGUUUAUACCGUAGCUUGCUACACCAUAGACUGUGAGUUGCGAACGGGUGAGUAACGCGUAGGUAACCUGCCUGGUAGCGGGGGAUAACUAUUGGAAACGAUAGCUAAUACCGCAUAAUAUUAAUUAUUGCAUGAUAAUUAAUUGAAAGGUGCAAUUGCACCACUACCAGAUGGACCUGCGUUGUAUUAGCUAGUAGGUGAGGUAACGGCUCACCUAGGCGACGAUACAUAGCCGACCUGGGAGGGUGAUCGGCCACACUGGGACUGAGACACGGCCCAGACUCCUACGGGAGGCAGCAGUAGGGAAUCUUCGGCAAUGGACGAAAGUCUGACCGAGCAACGCCGCGGGAGUGAAGAAGGGUUUCGGAUCGUAAAGCUCUGUUGUAAGAGAAGAACGGGUGUGAGAGUGGAAAGUUCACACUGUGACGGUAUCUUACCAGAAAGGGACGGCUAACUACGUG
This 505-nucleotide ribosomal RNA is filed under the name uncultured bacterium. Its description in RNAcentral is "partial 16S ribosomal RNA". It matches the Rfam family "Bacterial small subunit ribosomal RNA", at positions 28 to 507 of the family's 1533-position model. The record is from RNAcentral.